Long non-coding RNA from Theobroma cacao (cacao), 972 nucleotides. RefSeq lists it as uncharacterized. The record is from RefSeq and is a predicted model, not a curated record. Lineage: Eukaryota; Viridiplantae; Streptophyta; Magnoliopsida; Malvales; Malvaceae.
UCCAAAAAUCAGAUUUGGGAAGCCACAUACCGAUAAUCUAAUUCAAUUUUUUCUCUCACUGAUCCACCUGCCUGCAUAACCAACAAAGAACUUCAAAUCCUGAGACUUUAGCACUUUUUUCCUUGCUAGAUUUGCAACUUCGUUUAAACUGUUUUGAGCACAAAAAAAAGAGGCCAAGAAUCACCUCUUCAAACUUAGAUAUGAAGCCUAUGUCGACCUCUGCUCCUUCAUCUAUACCAAUUUCUUAUGAUAGCUACCAUGGUACUAGCAAAAAGAUUAACAUUCCAUAAAUUAGGCUUGGUGUUAUAAUUGGGAAAACCGAAAAAAACCAUCAAAUAUCUUCAACUAUAAUCUAGGGCAAAGAUUCAGGUUCAGGGAGAUAUGGAUGCAGACCCAAAUUUUGUGGCUAGGCUUGUGGAGCUCAUGGGUACUACGAAACAAAUUGCUAAAACAGAGCAGUUGAUAAACGAUGUUCUUGUUGAGCUGAAACAGGGGGUUCUGGCAUGGUUUCUCAAAGAUCGACGAGACAAGUUGCAAGUGAACAUUUUGAAAUGAAGAUUCUGAAUAAUAAGGUUGGUUUGGAAUUGGUAAAGGUGGUGAAACAAUUAAAAAUAUGAAAGCUAGAAUUGGAGCUCGUAUUCAGGUUUGAAUCGUGAUACCAUUGCACUUGCCCCCAAGUGAUCCAUCAAUAGAAAGGUCAUUUCACAUAGAUGGGACAAGUGAAUAGAUUCAAAAUGGAAAAGAAUUGGUUGAUGAGGUCAUAAGUGAGGUAUGUUUGGAUGUGAAUGUUGGGAGGAAAGCUUUUCUUCAGUUUAACUUAUUUCUGUCUCUAGUUUUUUACAUGAAUCGCUUUUAGUUGUUUUGUACCUUUAUUUUGUAUGCCUACUCCUAUAGGACCUAUUUAGUUCAAUUUUGAAUGUUGAUUUUUGGUGAUCUUCUGGAGCAUCACUCUAGUCUGUAGAACAUUAGUAA